UGGAGGAACAACCCCAGUGUCGUUGGCCAGCUCUGGAAACCUGGAUUCAGCCCCCACAGGAACUCCGGAGCUCUCCGCCUGCAGGGCCUGGAGGCUCCGGGGCGGG
RNAcentral lists this microRNA precursor (106 nucleotides) under Canis lupus familiaris (dog). RNAcentral's name for it is "mir-8834 microRNA precursor family". It matches the Rfam family "mir-8834 microRNA precursor family". The record is from Rfam by way of RNAcentral. Lineage: Eukaryota; Metazoa; Chordata; Mammalia; Carnivora; Canidae.